This 64-nucleotide transfer RNA is filed under the name Sirsoe methanicola. RNAcentral's name for it is "tRNA-Tyr". Lineage: Eukaryota; Metazoa; Annelida; Polychaeta; Phyllodocida; Hesionidae. The record is from RNAcentral.
AACAAGAUGGCCGAGUUAAGGCAGAAGUUUGUAGCUCUUCCAACGGACCCCAGUCCUCUUGUUA